ACCGGAAACUCAUUGACAAUGCUGUUAGAGUUUUUGACAGAAAUGUUUCCGUUUGCAAAAAUCCCUCGGUCAUGCAAAGAUAUGAAGAAAAUGAUAAAAGAUUUAGGCCUUGGGUAUAACAAAAUCCAUAGUUGCCCAAAUGAUUGCAUGUUGUAUUGGGGCGAUCGGAGAAACCAACAGUGCUGUCAUGUAUGUGGCCACUCACGUUGGAUAAGUAGAAACACAGAAGAUGGGAACGACGAUGAAAAUGAUGCACAGUCACGGAAGAAGCCAGUCAAGAUUUUGCGGUAUUUUCCGUUGAUACCAAGGCUUCAAAGGCUUUUCAUGUCGUCGAAGACAGCGAAGACAUUGAUAACCGGAUUAUUACUGAAGUUUUGGGUCCUGAAAGGUAUGGUCGGGUUCGAUUUCAAGGAUAUUUUGUUAGCCCAACCCAAUAUUUUGGAUCCAGCUCGCACCAAUACAUGGCUUCGGGGAGUCAGGCUCAAGCUGAAGUUCAGAGGUUAAAAGACCAGAUGGCUCAGAUGCAAGCGACCACAGUUGAGGUUCAAAGGAAAUAUGAAGAACUCCAGGUACAACUUAAAGCAGAGGCGACAGCGAGGGAAGCAGCGGCGGCAGCUAGGGAAGCAGAGGUUGCAGCGAGAGAAGCAGAGCAGAGCAAAAAGUACGACGAACUCCAGCAGCAGCUUCAGAUUAUGAUGAAGAUGUUUCAGUCACAACUUCCGCCGUCAUAGUGUAUUACAUAAAUAUUUUAAAAUUUAACAUUUUUGCAAAAAUAAUAUGAAUUCACUUUUAUUUAUUGAUAUUAAUAUUAUUUUUAUUCGUUUAAUUUGGAAUAUUAUAUAAAUUUAUUGCUUUUAGCUGGUUUAGAUCUGUUUGCUUUUGAUUUGUUGCUACAGGAGGGCUGAAAAAAUAAAAAAUUUAAUAUAAAAAAAUCCUAAAAAUAGUGGCGUUUUUGUGAAAAAGCGCCACUAAAGACCAUGUUCUUUAGCGGCGUUUUUUUCUAAGCGCCGCUAAAGAACAUGGUCUUUAGCGGCGUUUUUUUUCUAAGCGCCGCUAAAGAACAUGGUCUUUAGUGGCAUUUUUGUUUGUAAACGCCGCAAACGUUUGCGUCAUUUUCGUUAGCGGCCUUUUUUGCGGCGCUUUUGGAAGCGCCGCUAAAGGCCUAAAAACGCCGCUAAAGACCUGUUUUGGUGUAGUGAUAAGCAGUUAAUAUGUUAAAUGAUAUCAUAAUAAUAUAAUCCUUUCAUAUCUCAUUUGUAGUCGUACCGACUGGUUGUCAGCUUCAAAUUCUUGACCUGUAAACUCAAAAAUUCAAUUAAACCUUGAAUCAUCGCUUACAUUUACAUAAUCACAAACUUACUAAUUGCAUAUUCAACUCAACUUCUUUUGCAUUUAAUUCUUCCUAACAUUAUUCAUAAUUAUUCUACCAAGCAUUCAACCCGUAAUGGUAAACCAAAUUCGAUCAACAUAAUCUAACUGAUGAGACAACAACCAAGCAUAUAAUUCGAUUAAUCAAUUUAGCACAUUAAUUCGAUAGUUUCCUAACUACACACUUCCAAGCAAAAAUUUAAUAUGUAUUCUCAGACAAUAGCAAAUUUAAUAUUAAGCUUCAAAUAAUAAUUAGACAUGCAAUUUCGAACAAUAUUUUAAUACAUUUAUUCAGACCACCCCAUUAUGCACAAAAUGGACUACCCUUUUUAUACACAUUGAACAACAUUAUUAUGUUCAAACAUUAACACUACAUAUAACAUCAAAUUGGUCGACUUAGUUAACUCAAUAUAUUAGUAUAAAUAACAGCAAAUUGGACAGUGAAGAUAACACAUUCGAAUAGAUAAAUUUCAAGCUCAGUAACGGUUAAUUCAGGUAGGAAAUUAUAUGCUAAAAUUUCCAUCAUUGGACCGCAAGUAAUGACGACCAAUAUGUUCCUUCAUUUAACACAACAACUCGUAACAUUUAAAACAAAAGAAUAAAUAUACUGAAUUUCCAGCAUUCAAUUCGGAUUACAAAGGUUCAGUUUUAUAUAGCUUUAACUUAUGCUCUGGACAUCAACAAAUCUUCAACAUUAAAUCAGCUUAAUAACAUCACAUUCAGACUGUUUUAUUACACCCAUCCGAACAGCUUAAUUAACACCAAUUUACAGCCCCUUGAACAAUGAAUUUAACUCAUUCGAUCAGCAACAAAAACUAAUAUUUAACAACUAUCGUUUUCUUUUAUUUCAAACAUGCGGCAGACCAAUUCCUCCACAUAUUACAACAUAUUCAAAUCAGCAUUUACAUGCUGAAACAAUGGGUUUUCAAGCUGCAGUUUCCAGCAGUCAUUUAAGCAUUUACUUGUCCAAUUUUUACUUCACUACUAACAACCGAAACUUAGUAAGAAUAACAUAAUAUUUUAGCUACUACACUCAACCCCUAUAACCGUAACUUACCUGCAUGCAAACAUCAGAAUUUAAACAUGAGAAUUUACAAAGUUUCCUUUGAAAAACUCACUCACAAACACAUUCAAUUUGUCCUAUUUUGGACAGCACAAGACAGCAAAAAUCCAUGCUUUUUAAUCCUGUAAUAACUCAAUUAAUUGGUCCUAAAACUGGACAGCAUAAUGCAACGAAUGGGACUGUCUUUACAGCCCCCAAUCGUCAUGAAAAUAGAACCAUUAAUUUGUUCAAAUUUCGGACAGCAUUAAUUUUUACAAUAAACGAAUCUAACUAAUACUAGGCAGUAAACAUUUUCAACCAUUAAAUCAAAACCGAAACAUCAAUGCUAAUUUAAUAGAACUUCUUUUUUUUUUUUGCAUAAAAAUAACAAUACGAGUUUAAAGAAACUCACAAGAAAAUUCCCCAAGAUAAAAUCUAUCUACACAAUUCUGGCAUUCCCUUGGCUGCUUAGACCUUCUACCUCCUUGUUAGCUAAACAUAGUCAACCAUAAUAUAAUCAAAGAUAAAGGCAUCCACAAGAAAAAUAACCAAAUUCUACUAACAUCAAAGAAAAAUUUUACAACUAAUCAAAGAGCUUUUCUUCUCUACAACCCACAGUUACGCCUACCACCCACAAUCCAUCAUCAUUUUUCUUUACAACAAAGUUAAGGAUAGAGGAGAGCUUACAAAAAUUACCGAGCUUGAGGAUACAACUCUUAAACAAGCUAAAUCCUUUGUUUCCUUCAACAUGCAAAUUCUCUCUCCUUUUUCUUUUGGUGAUACGGUUAAAAGAAAGAUGAUGAUGACCAUCUUCCUCUUCUUUCCA
This 3236-nucleotide long non-coding RNA is filed under the name Gossypium raimondii (Peruvian cotton). Its description in RNAcentral is "long non-coding RNA (GRAI_LNC005083)". The record is from RNAcentral. Lineage: Eukaryota; Viridiplantae; Streptophyta; Magnoliopsida; Malvales; Malvaceae.